UGCUGGGGAAUUGGUACCGAUUCCGUCGAAUCCGAACCGGGGAACAUACCGGUCAUGGUGUGACCGCAGAAGAACCGAUCGCAACAACUCCCGCUGUAUCGGCAAUCUGGGCCAUCAGACCGGGUCCGAUUCCGCGUGACACAGCAGGGCUAAGAACCUUUUUCUGAGGAAAACAAGAAAUUGGGAUUUACAUUUCGGACAAAAGCAAAGAAGAAGUUUAUUGGGCGGAUUUGGGAAGAGAAAAAAGGAUAGCCGGAAGUGCCAAUUUGGUGUGUUUACUGUUGAAAAUCAACGUGAAAAUAAUGAAUAUGAAAAAAACGAGUUAACAAAACGAAA
Culex quinquefasciatus (southern house mosquito) is the source of this 336-nucleotide long non-coding RNA. RefSeq lists it as uncharacterized. The record is from RefSeq and is a predicted model, not a curated record. Lineage: Eukaryota; Metazoa; Arthropoda; Insecta; Diptera; Culicidae. The transcript is spliced from 2 exons.